ACCUGGUUGAUCUUGCCAGUAGUCAUAUGCUUGUCUCACAGAUUAAGCCAUGCAAGUGAAAGUACAUAUGUAAAUAAUAUAUUGAAACUGCGAACGGCUCAUUAAAACAGUUAUAAUCUACUUGAUGUUUUUAAUAUAAGGAUAACUACGGAAAAUCUGUAGCUAAUACUUGUGAAAAUACCUUUUGAUAUAUACAUAUGUAUGUAUCAUUAAGGUAUGUAUUUGUUAGAUAUAAGAAUAAAAUAAAUAUAAUUGAAUUAUAACAAAGAAGAAACACAUAAAAUAUGUGUAUUAUCAAUCGAGUAUCUGACCUAUCAGCUUUUGAUGUUAGGGUAUUGACCUAACAUGGCUAUGACGGGUAACGGGGAAUUAGAGUUCGAUUCCGGAGAGGGAGCCUGAGAAAUAGCUACCACAUCUAAGGAAGGCAGCAGGCGCGUAAAUUACCCAAUUCUAAAAAAGAGAGGUAGUGACAAGAAAUAACAAUACAAUAUCGAAAAAUGAUUUUGUAAUUGGAAUGAUAGGAAUUUACAAGGUUCCUAGAGAAACAAUUGGAGGGCAAGUCUGGUGCCAGCAGCCGCGGUAAUUCCAGCUCCAAUAGCAUAUAUUAAAAUUGUUGCAGUUAAAACGUUCGUAGUUGAAUAUUAAAGAAUCCGAUGUUUCAUUUAAACUGGUUUGGGAAAACCAAAUAUAUUAUAUAUUUUGCUUUGUUCAAAAUAAGGUUUUCUAAUAAAUUAUGUUUUUAUCAGAUAUGACAGAAUCUUUUUUAAAAUCUCUUCAAUAUGCUUUUAUUGCUUUUGAGAGGUUUUGUUACUUUGAGUAAAAUUAAGUGUUCAUAACAGACGGGUAGUCAUGAUUGAGUUCAUUGUGUUUGAAUACUACAGCAUGGAAUAACAAAUAUGAAUAAGCUAAUUAUUUUUUUUUUUCAUUAUUUUUUUUGAUAUUCUUAUUAGCUUAGUUACGAUUAAUAGGAGUAGCUUUGGGGGCAUUCGUAUUCAGAUGUCAGAGGUGAAAUUCUAAGAUUUUCUGGAGACGGACUACUGCGAAAGCAUUUGCCUAAUCUAUUUCCAUUAAUCAAGAACGAAAGUUAAGGGAGUGAAGACGAUCAGAUACCGUCGUAAUCUUAACCAUAAACUAUACCGACUAGGUGUUGGAUGAAUAUAAAAAAUAUAUAAAUAUGUAGCAUUUCUUAGGGAAUGUUGAUUUUAUAUUAGAAUUGCUUCCUUCAGUACCUUAUGAGAAAUCAAAGUCUUUGGGUUCUGGGGCGAGUAUUCGCGCAAGCGAGAAAGUUAAAAGAAUUGACGGAAGGGCACCACCAGGCGUGGAGCUUGCGGCUUAAUUUGACUCAACACGGGAAAACUCACUAGUUUAAGACAAGAGUAGGAUUGACAGAUUAAUAGCUCUUUCUUGAUUUCUUGGAUGGUGAUGCAUGGCCGUUUUUAGUUCGUGAAUAUGAUUUGUCUGGUUAAUUCCGAUAACGAACGAGAUCUUAACCUGCUAAUUAGCGGUAAGUACACUAUAUUUUUAUUUGAAAUUGAAUAUAGGUAAUUAUACAUGUUUAUUCAGUGUUCAAAUUAGGAUAUUUUUUUUAUUAAAAUAUUCUUUUCCCUGUUCUACUAUAAUAAUUUGUUUUUUUUUACUCUAUUUCUCUCUUCUUUUAAGAAUGUACUUGUUUGAUUAAAUAAAGCUUCUUAGAGGAACAGUGUGUAUCUAACACAAGGAAGUUUAAGGCAACAACAGGUCUGUGAUGUCCUUAGAUAAACUAGGCUGCACGCGUGCUACAAUGAUAUAUAUAACAAGUUGUUAAAAAUGUACUUAUAAAUAAGUGUGUACAAUUUUUCCUGUACUGAAAAGUAUAGGUAAUCUUUAUCAGUAUAUAUCGUAAUUGGGAUAGAUUAUUGCAAUUAUUAAUCUUGAACGAGGAAUGCCUAGUAAGCAUGAUUCAUUAGAUUGUGCUGACUACGUCCCUGCCCUUUGUACACACCGCCCGUCGCUCCUACCGAUUGAAAGAUAUGAUAAAUUGUUUGGAUAUGAAUUAAAAUAAUGAAAUUUUAUAUUUCUGAUUUUUUCUAGAAGAACUGUAAAUCCUAUCUUUUAAAGGAAGGAGAAGUCGUAACAAGGUUUCCGUAGGUGAACCUGCGGAAGGAUCAUUA
This 2150-nucleotide ribosomal RNA is filed under the name Plasmodium falciparum 7G8. RNAcentral's name for it is "18S ribosomal RNA". It matches the Rfam family "Eukaryotic small subunit ribosomal RNA". The record is from RNAcentral. Lineage: Eukaryota; Apicomplexa; Aconoidasida; Haemosporida; Plasmodiidae.